Long non-coding RNA from Amaranthus tricolor (Joseph's coat), 2870 nucleotides. RefSeq lists it as uncharacterized. The transcript is spliced from 4 exons. The record is from RefSeq and is a predicted model, not a curated record. NCBI's taxonomy places the organism in Eukaryota, Viridiplantae, Streptophyta, Magnoliopsida, Caryophyllales, Amaranthaceae.
AUAAUAAUAAGUAAUAAUAAAAAAUUUAAAAAAAAAAUAAUAAUAAUAAUAAUAAUUAUUAUUAUUAUUAUUAUUAUAAUAAUAAUAAUAAUAAUAAUAAUAAAUAAUAAUAAUAAUAAUAAAAAUAAAAAUUUAUAAAAAAAUAUAAUCUUUUAAAAUUUUUGGAGGUCAACAGGCAUAGUCAACACCGGAAAUUACACAAAAACCACCGAAAAUUGAAUUAAGGUGUCUAUUUUAAAAAAAAAAAAGUCUCUUAAAAGGUGUUUUUUUACAAAAAAAAAUUAUAAAAGGUGUUUCUUUACAAAAAAGGGGUUUUAAAAGGUGUUUCUUUGCAAAUUUCUCUUAUUAUAAAUAUUUGAUGAAUUAUGUGGAUUAUUCAAUUUUGAGAUUAAUUGGACAUUUAAUGGUUGAUAUUGAUUACUGAGGGAUAUAUGUUGAUGUUUACUUGAAUGAACGACUUGUUGAAUUUGUUAAAUACUACGGAUAUAUGUUGAUGUUGAUUACGUGGGAUGUAAUGAAUGAAUGUUGGAGUUGAUUACUUGGGAUAUAUACUUGAUGUUGAAUGAAUUUAGUAAAUGAUUGAAUGUUAAAUGUUGAUGUUUACUUGAAUAAAUAACUUGUUUAAUUUGUUAAAUACUUUGGAUAUAUGUUGAUGUUGAUUACUUGGGAUAUAAUGAAUGAAUGUUGGAGUUGAUUACUUGGGAUAUAUACUUGAUGUUGAAUGAAUGUAGUAAAUGACUGAAUGUUAAAUGUUGAAUUAUGAAUUGAAUUAUCAAAAUGAAAAGUAAACACAUUAAACUAACAGGAUGGAGAAUCCUGGUCCUAUUGAUCCUUCCGUGUUAGUUUUACAUCCUACCCAUCGUUCACGAUUCAUAUGGACCAGACAACUAGAGUCCGACACAUUGCUUCAGACUCUACACCACCCUUUGGUGGUAAUGAGAUGACCCGUAGACGAUAGGGUUUUGAGAUACGUGCGCAAAGCGGGUUUAUACGGUAUUCACCGAGUGGGUCAGAUCCCAUUAGAUCGAGGGAUGAUUACCGCUCUAGUAGAGCGAUGAAGACCUGAGACGCUGUCGGUGGGUGAAGCGACCAUUACACUGCGUGAUGUUGCUAUACGUAUCGACUUACCGGUGAGUGGGAGGGCAAUCACCGGCCCUAGUUCGAGCCAUACAAAAGAGCUAAUACAUAGGAUGUUCGGGGUCCUACCGCCAGACGAAGCGAUGAUUGGGUCUUCGGUGAAGGUGACAUGGAUGCUUAGCACCUUUGGAAAUUUACCAGGCCCGACGCUGAGGAUGCAGCAGUAGAGAGUUAUGCUCGCAUUUACUGUUGGGUACUUAAUUCCGGCUAUUUGUUUGUCGACAAAUCCGGAAACGAGAUGCAAGGGAUCUAUUUAGAGCUCCUUGACCAAGACUGGGCUGACAUUGCGUCCUAAGUUAGGCCAAUGCCGCACUUGCUUUCCUCUACAAACUUUUGUGUCGAGCCGCCUUGAUCAAGAGAGGGAAACCAGCAAGUGACAUUGCGGGUCCAUUGGUUAUUCUACAGUUGGAUAUGGGAGCAUAUUACUUUUUGAACUCUUGCUGUCUCAACGCAACGACGUAGGGGAGAGGACGGGCAGCCUAUUCUCCUCCAUAUUGAGCCGGAGGAUCCCGCGGAGGACGAGCCAUAUGGAUAGAGAUGGCUCGUGCCUCGAUUGACACAUUUGAACACCUCACGAGGUGUACAUGUCUUUCGCGAUUCACUUGAUCGCAUGGCUGGUGCACAGAUGAUAUGGGACCCAUAUCCCCCAUAUAAGGGUGACGAAGAUAAGUGGCGUGUUCGAACGCCUAUGAUCUUUUUUGACGUGGUUGAAUACCACUACCCUGAACGGGUCAUGUGUCAGUACAGUUUGCGCCAGACGAGGCUUGAUCCACCAGAAGAUCACUGCAUGCUCCACGAGGUGGAUCAUAGGGGGAAGCCACAAUGAACUGAGCUGUGUAUCACCGGGGAUACAUUGAGGGGUGGGAUGGAAGUGAAGAUUACGUAGUUUAGGGGGACGAGAUUGGUGAACCGAUGGAUUUCCACGAUGACUGUCUCAUUUGGUAUCGUGGAAUCACCAGACGGUUCAUCAACCAAGGAUAUAACCAGAGCGGCCACUCCCUCUGAACUACAUGCCCUCUGGCAUGCCAUUACAUGUUCUGAUGUAAUACGAGCUAAGCAUUUGUGACUACAUGCACUCACACCGACAUGUAUGUCAUGAACAGUCAAACGAAGUGGUCAGGAGGUGCGAUAGUGUAAUGGUAGGCCUUGGAUGUGAGCAUCUACUUCAACCAUUACCGCAGGACGAUGUUCCUAGUUCAACAACACAAGCAGAAUCUCCGGAGAUAUCAACUGAUCAUCAAUCGUCAUAUACACUUAGUGUACAUCCAAUGGCUCCUAGACCCUCUCAAGGCGAGUGUUCUAAUGUAUCUCCUAUUCAUCCCACUAACUUUAGGCUUCAUCAACAAUAAAAUAGUGAGGGUACACCUCUAGUUUAUCCUAGUCUAGACACUAUUUAUGAGGACGAUACACCCACUACUGAUUCUUAGACUGUGUAUAACAUUGUAUAGAAUUGUAUAUACAUGUAUAUAUGUAAUGUUACAUGCAUUGUAUAACUUUACGGUGCACGACAUGUAUAUAUUUGUAUAUAUAUGUAAUGUUAUAUAAUUUGGGUGCUUGAAUGAGAAGCGUGAUGACAAUUGAUAUAUCAAUUUUAUUUUAGUGCGGGUACGUAUAUAAGGUGUUGUAGAGCAAAAACAAAAAAUAAAUAAAUCAACACAACAAAGUAAAACGCUGUAAGCAUCAGCGUUUUCUAAGUUUCCCUGUAAACCUGCAAUCAAAUAAAAAAAAAUAAA